UGAAGCUGGGACGAUAGCUCGUGUAAUUGCUGAUGGCACAAUAACCCUGGCUGGAUUCCUAGGCGAGAGUAGGCUCUUGAAUGCCACCCUUCUUCCUUCGCUCUUUAUUUCUGUGGCCUCCAUAAUUGCCACUUGUUUUACCUAUAACUCACUCUAUUGAUUCUUAUGUUGUAUGGACAAGUCAUUUGAUAUGUGAAGUCUAGCUUCUCAAUUUUGUUCCUCUUUUUUCAAUAAGAAUAAUAAUAAUAAUGAUUUUUUGUUAAUCAGUUCUCUAAAUUGUAAGAAACUAGUUCAUUGAUUCUCCUAUUCAAUUAGAAUUUAAUAAGGUUUCAGGCUUCUGCUGGAGGGUGUGGAAGGCUUCAAGUUUUCAAUUUCCUGGAGUUCUUGUGUUCCUACAACAAAAAAUAAGAGUUGUUCCAUCCCAUGUGAAAUUAAAUAGUGAAUAAAUGAAUGGACAAGAAUAACACUUGUUGGUGGUUCUUAUGUUAUUCUUGAGUACUCGUUAAAUGUUACCAUGGAGCAAGUUCAAAUUUAGAAUAGAAAAGUAAAAGAUGCAAAAAUGAGGAAAGAGGGAGAAAAGUAUUAUUGAACUCUCAAGCCCUUUCCGGUAAUGAAUUAAUUGGACAAUUAAAGGGCAACUAUUAGUAUGAAGGUAACAAAAUAAGGCUGGAUAUGUAUAGUCUUUGACCUUUCAUUAAAAGAUAUGUACUGCAAAAAUGAAUUUUCAGUUCAAUAUAUGUCAUGGAUAAUUCAACACCUGAACUAUUUUCCUAAAAAGGAUUACAUGUAAUCAUAGUUUUACUUUAUUUUCAUCCAAGAACAUGAAUUUAGAGCGUGGAAUCGAUUUUUUUAGGGUAGUCAUUAGAUCGGUUUCAAUUCAAGACUUAAUAAGAUUGGAUUAUAAGAUAUGUCAUGAUCUGAUUUCUGGGCCGAAUUGGCACUAGGACUUUAGUUAGCAUAAGCCUCUCGAAACUCGUAGUAAGCUUAACUAUUUCUAAUCCAUUCAUAAAACCCAUUGAGGUAGCUCAAUUUCAAGAAAACAAAUAGACAAAAUCCGGCUAUAAAUUGAACGAUCCAACCAGGAGCAUUAACUCACUUGACAUGUAAACAAAUUAUAUUAAUAAUAUAGGGAGCUCAGCUCACCCUUACA
Molecule: unclassified non-coding RNA, 1150 nt
Filed under: Hevea brasiliensis (rubber tree)
Lineage: Eukaryota; Viridiplantae; Streptophyta; Magnoliopsida; Malpighiales; Euphorbiaceae
Source: RNAcentral